Molecule: ribosomal RNA, 279 nt
Filed under: uncultured bacterium
Lineage: Bacteria
Description: partial 16S ribosomal RNA
Rfam family: Bacterial small subunit ribosomal RNA
Source: RNAcentral
UGCCAGCCGCCGCGGUAACACGUAAGGGGCAAGCGUUGUUCGGAAUCAUUGGGCGUAAAGGGUGCGCAGGCGGUUAUUCAAGCUUGAUGUAAAAGACCCCGGCUUAACCGGGGGAAUGCAUUGGGAACUGGAUGACUGGAGUAUAAGAGGGGAAGUUGGAAUUCCAGGUGUAGGGGUGAAAUCUGUAGAUAUCUGGAAGAACACCGGUGGCGAAGGCGAACUUCUGGCUAUAUACUGACGCUGAGGCACGAAAGCGUGGGGAGCGAACAGGAUUAGAUA